AAGUUGCACCAGGGGUGCCUGCAUUCUCAACAAUGUGAAGGCUUCUUGGCCUUGACUGUUGUGAGAUGGGCUGAGAAAGUCCCUUUGAACCUGAACAGGAUAAUGCCUGCGAAGGGAGUGUGCAUUUCUUUUUUC
RNAcentral lists this non-coding RNA (135 nucleotides) under Setaria italica (foxtail millet). Its description in RNAcentral is "TPP sequence". It matches the Rfam family "TPP riboswitch aptamer (THI element)". From Rfam's summary of the family: Vitamin B(1) in its active form thiamin pyrophosphate (TPP) is an essential coenzyme that is synthesised by coupling of pyrimidine and thiazole moieties in bacteria. Lineage: Eukaryota; Viridiplantae; Streptophyta; Magnoliopsida; Poales; Poaceae. RNAcentral also lists the same sequence under 1 other name. The record is from Rfam by way of RNAcentral.